AUUGAACGCUGGCGGCAGGCCUAACACAUGCAAGUCGAGCGGUAGAGAGGUGCUUGCAUCUCUUGAGAGCGGCGGACGGGUGAGUAAUGCCUAGGAAUCUGCCCUAGUGGUGGGGGAUAACGUUCGGAAACGGACGCUAAUACCGCAUACGUCCUACGGGAGAAAGCGGGGGAUCUUCGGACCUCGCGCCAUUAGAUGAGCCUAGGUCGGAUUAGCUAGUUGGUGAGGUAAUGGCUCACCAAGGCGACGAUCCGUAACUGGUCUGAGAGGAUGAUCAGUCACACUGGAACUGAGAC
RNAcentral lists this ribosomal RNA (296 nucleotides) under uncultured bacterium. RNAcentral's name for it is "partial 16S ribosomal RNA". It matches the Rfam family "Bacterial small subunit ribosomal RNA", at positions 30 to 325 of the family's 1533-position model. The record is from RNAcentral.